CCUAUGGAGUAUCACAUCAAACGCAAGUAGCUGUUAUCAAAAGCAAAAGCAGAUACGAGGAAAUAGGAA
RNAcentral lists this non-coding RNA (69 nucleotides) under unclassified sequences. RNAcentral describes it as "RAGATH-18 RNA". It matches the Rfam family "RAGATH-18 RNA". Rfam says of the family: Actinobacteria, Firmicutes, Fusobacteria, Thermotogae (1 example). Nearby to self-cleaving ribozyme genes The record is from Rfam by way of RNAcentral.